This 235-nucleotide ribosomal RNA is filed under the name uncultured Actinomycetales bacterium. RNAcentral describes it as "partial 16S ribosomal RNA". It matches the Rfam family "Bacterial small subunit ribosomal RNA", at positions 96 to 334 of the family's 1533-position model. The record is from RNAcentral. Lineage: Bacteria; Bacillati; Actinomycetota; Actinomycetes; Actinomycetales.
UGGCGAACGGGUGAGUAACACGUGGGUGAUCCGCCCUGCACUCUGGGAUAAGCCUGGGAAACUGGGUCUAAUACCGGAUAGGACCAUGCUUUAGUGUGUGUGGUGGAAAGUUUUUUCGGUGUAGGAUGAGCCCGCGGCCUAUCAGCUUGUUGGUGGGGUAAUGGCCUACCAAGGCGGCGACGGGUAGCCGGACUGAGAGGUUGGUCGGCCACAUUGGGACUGAGAUACGGCCCAG